Molecule: ribosomal RNA, 185 nt
Filed under: uncultured bacterium
Lineage: Bacteria
Description: partial 16S ribosomal RNA
Rfam family: Bacterial small subunit ribosomal RNA
Source: RNAcentral
CCUUCAUGAAGCUGGAAUUGCUAGUAAUGGCAGGUCAGCAUACUGCCGUGAAUACGUUCCCAGGCCUUGUACACGCCGCCCGUCACACCAUGAGAGUUGGAAAUACCCGAAGCCUGUGAGCUAACUUAAAGAGGCAGCAGUCGAAGGUAGAGCCAAUGAUUGGGGUGAAGUCGUAACAAGGUACC